This 237-nucleotide unclassified non-coding RNA is filed under the name plant metagenome. RNAcentral's name for it is "partial contains small subunit ribosomal RNA, internal transcribed spacer 1, and 5.8S ribosomal RNA". The record is from RNAcentral.
UUUCCGUAGGUGAACCUGCGGAAGGAUCAUUAAUGAGAACUAAGGGUAGUAGUCUCGGCUAUUACUCUGAACACUCCACCCUUUGUUUAUAUUACCUUUGUUGCCUUAGCAGGCCCGCUCUCGAGCCGCCGGCACCUGCUGGCUAGUGCCUGCUAAAGAACCUAAAACUCUUGUUAAUAAUAUUGUCUGAGUACUAUAUAAUAGUUAAAACUUUCAACAACGGAUCUCUUGGUUCUG